This 1145-nucleotide ribosomal RNA is filed under the name uncultured bacterium. RNAcentral's name for it is "bacterial SSU rRNA". It matches the Rfam family "Bacterial small subunit ribosomal RNA", at positions 28 to 1232 of the family's 1533-position model. The record is from RNAcentral.
GAUGAACGCUGGCGGCGUGCCUAACACAUGCAAGUCGAGCGAUUUACUUCGGUAAAGAGCGGCGGACGGGUGAGUAACGCGUGGGUAACCUGCCCUAUACACACGGAUAACAUACCGAAAGGUAUGCUAAUACGAGAUAACAUAAGAGAUUCGCAUGGAUUUCUUAUCAAAGCUUUUGCGGUAUAGGAUGGACCCGCGUCUGAUUAGCUAGUUGGUAAGGUAACGGCUUACCAAGGCGACGAUCAGUAGCCGACCUGAGAGGGUGAUCGGCCACAUUGGAACUGAGACACGGUCCAAACUCCUACGGGAGGCAGCAGUGGGGAAUAUUGCACAAUGGGCGAAAGCCUGAUUCACGGUCAUAGAAAGCCUGAUGCMGCAACGCCGCGUGAGCGAUGAAGGCCUUCGGGUCGUAAAACUCUGUCCUCAAGGAAGAUAAUGACGGUACUUGAGGAGGAAGCCCCGGCUAACUACGUGCCAGCAGCCGCGGUAAUACGUAGGGGGCUAGCGUUAUCCGGAAUUACUGGGCGUAAAGGGUGCGUAGGUGGUUUCUUAAGUCAGAAGUGAAAGGCUACGGCUCAACCGUAGUAAGCUUUUGAAACUGAGAAACUUGAGUGCAGGAGAGGAGAGUAGAAUUCCUAGUGUAGCGGUGAAAUGCGUAGAUAUUAGGAGGAAUACCAGUUGCGAAGGCGGCUCUCUGGACUGUAACUGACACUGAGGCACGAAAGCGUGGGGAGCAAACAGGAUUAGAUACCCUGGUAGUCCACGCCGUAAACGAUGAGUACUAGCUGUCGGAGGUUACCCCCUUCGGUGGCGCAGCUAACGCAUUAAGUACUCCGCCUGGGAAGUACGCUCGCAAGAGUGAAACUCAAGGAAUUGACGGGGACCCGCACAAGUAGCGGAGCAUGUGGUUUAAUUCGAAGCAACGCGARAACCUUACCUAAGCUGACAUCCMCUGACCCUUCCCUAAUCGAGUUCCCUUCGGGACAGUGUGAMAGGUGGUGCAUGUGUCGUCRCUCUGUCUGAAUGUGGUAGUCCGCACGACGCACUGCUAGUGCCACAUUAGUGGCACYURAGGACKCCAGUAACCUGAGAGGKGGACGACGYCAAUCCCAKUCCGUUACCUUGGCCCUACCCGUGGUCWMWUU